Molecule: non-coding RNA, 73 nt
Organism: Podarcis lilfordi (Lilford's wall lizard)
Lineage: Eukaryota; Metazoa; Chordata; Lepidosauria; Squamata; Lacertidae
Source: the annotation of a GenBank genome assembly
GCUGAUAUAGCUCAGUUGGGAGAACACAAGACUCUUAAUCACAAGGUCGUGGGUUUGAGCCCUAUGUUGGGUA